This is a long non-coding RNA of Helianthus annuus (common sunflower), 509 nucleotides long. RefSeq lists it as uncharacterized. Lineage: Eukaryota; Viridiplantae; Streptophyta; Magnoliopsida; Asterales; Asteraceae. The record is from RefSeq and is a predicted model, not a curated record. The transcript is spliced from 3 exons.
AAGUUAAGAAAUUAAAAAGAAAAUCAACACACACCACACACACUUCAGUGUGUGUGGGUGUCGCCUGGAACAAAGAAGCAAGAGCCAAAAACCCUCAACAUCAUAAAUUCAGUAAAUUGAAAGGGAAUCCAGGGCCUAAAUCAUUGCAUGUGCACAUAGAAACAUUCAACUAAGUUAGUCUAUCGAAUGGAGUAAAAGAAGAAGACACAAGCCAUUCCGGAUCACAAUCAAAACACGACAAAGGUAAAGCGACUUGUUAGAUGUCGUCAUUUGGAUCGAACACACCCAUGAUGUACGCUUCCGCAAGAAUAUUAGCUUGGGUCAAAACUUUUGUUAAAUGUACUUUUUGGUAAAAUGGAUCUUUUGUAAGUAACAAAACUUGGUUGUUGUUAGUUGUCGAACUCGUAGUCGAAGACAAUGUUAGAUGUUUAUGAAAUGUUGGGUUGUAAGUUAUUUUAACAUCUACUAAUUAGUCAUGCUAUGGUUAAAUGCAGAAUUUUGCUUAUGAA